UCCAUCGUGAGGUGGAGUCUGAAGGAAGCCUAAUGCAA
Natranaerobius trueperi is the source of this 38-nucleotide non-coding RNA. Lineage: Bacteria; Bacillati; Bacillota; Clostridia; Natranaerobiales; Natranaerobiaceae. The record is from Rfam.